CAGUAGCUGACGAGUGCCAAAUAGGACGAAAUGCACAUUGCUGUGG
RNAcentral lists this non-coding RNA (46 nucleotides) under Trichobilharzia regenti. The record is from RNAcentral. Lineage: Eukaryota; Metazoa; Platyhelminthes; Trematoda; Strigeidida; Schistosomatidae.